Molecule: long non-coding RNA, 1930 nt
Organism: Gopherus agassizii (Agassiz's desert tortoise)
Lineage: Eukaryota; Metazoa; Chordata; Testudines; Testudinidae
Source: Ensembl
GCACAAAGAGAGGGUUACGCAUGGGGAAAUUCACCAAGGCACAGUUAAUCGUGCAGUUGGAGGAGAAGGACCACUCUGAGGAGCAAAUUCCUGGCCCAGAUGGGGCUACAAGAGGCUCUGAGAGCAGCUGGAGCAUCAGCCAGGCAUCCCCGGGAGUCUGGUCCCCAACCAGACGAUGGUCUUCACGAGCGGGUUCCCCAUCAGGGGAUCGGAGACAGAUUGGAUGGGAGCAGAGCCCAAGAGAGCGAGAGCCUGAGGAAAAACUGCAGGAGAAGCAGCAGCAGCAUGGACUGUCGAUGGUGGAGCGGAGAGACAUAGGGGGCUUCCCAGGGGUCAGUGGGGAAACAUGCCUGUGGGGGCGAGACCCUGGGACAGAGAGAACUGUGGUGGUGCAGCCCCAGAUGCUGAGGGACUGUGGGACCUGGGUGAAGUUCCCUGGGGUGAAGCCCCUCGCCCUGCCUAUGGCCCAGAUCCCUGUGCAGACCCAGGAGGGGUCAGGCUGGCUGGUGGUUGGGGUUCUCCAGGAUAUCGGCUCGGAGGCCCUGUUGGGGGGUGACUGUCUCCCCUUGGGACAGGAUCCAAGCCCCGCUCCUGUAACGGCCGAGAAUUUGAAUUCAAAUCCAGGGAACCAAUUGGCUAGGAUGGAAAUGGUCAGUGAAAAUGCAAAUGACCUGGCUGGCAGGGGGGAGGGGCUGCUGGGCUCAGGAUACCUGCCUACCUGUAACCAGCCCCCUGGGGCUAAGUGGGAGGGAGAGAUGAUUCCCGGCCCCCUGCACAGCGGAGAUGGGACUCACGCUGGCUCUGAUGCUGGGACCAGUGCAGAGAGCUCGCUGCCUGCCCCCACUGGGACAGCAAGGGCAGCGCUGAGCACGGGGGGAGCUGAGACCCCAGCUGAGUGGGGGGACACCCAGGCAGGGCAGGUCAGCUGCCAAACAGGUUUGCCUGGUCCAGACGUGCUGCUGGGAAGUGAUUACACAGCAGGGAGGGAGCUACCAGGGACAGGGCUCAGGGGGGCUGUAACCCCAGGCCCAGCCAGCGAGAGGGAGCAGGUCCCACUCCCUGCCCCAGCCGCUGAAUCCCAGACUGAGCUGCAAAGGGAUCCCUCCUUGGAGAAGCUGAGGAAACUUGCUGGCCACAGCGCUGCAGACCCCCUUGGGGAAGGCUGCAGGGACAGAGUCCUGCAGGAGAAGGGAUUCCUGUACCGGGAAUGGGCUCCCCAAGGGGAAGUACAACUGGGGGGAAUCGGGAGGCAGCUGGUGGUGCCCCAGAAAUCCACAGGGUUCUUCCUGUUCAAGCUGCUUAAUGGGAGGAGAGUGAGGGGACCCCUGGACCCGGAAAGGAAGGAUUGGGAGGAGAAGGGGGAAGAUCCCCUGGGGGAUCUCUUCCCUGAGGUGGGAGCCAAUCUCCCCAUCAGGUGUUCCCCAUUCAAAGUCACUGGGAAAGCAGCCCAAAACCUGGAGAGAGAUGUCAAGGACCUGCUGGCUUUAGAUGUGAUCCAGCCGUUUUACAGCCCAUGGGCCUCACCCGUGGGGCUGAUCCCCAAGGAAGACAGAAUAAUCUGGUUUUGUGGGAGCUAUCGGAAGCUUAAAGCCAUCACAGUGUCCAGUGCUGACCCCAUGCCUAGGCCUGGGGAAAUUCUAAACAAGCAAAGGGCGAUGGAAAACUUGGCCCUGGCAGACACUAAUAACAUGUGCAUCUUUAGCCAGACCUGGGAGAAACAGGUGUCCCAGGUAAAAAGGGGGCUGGGCUGCCUCAAGAAGGUGGGACUGAUGGUAAAAGCUGAAAAGUGUAAGGUGGGGACAGCAGAGGUGUUUUAUCUGGGCCACAAGGUGGGGAGUGGCGGCCCAAGCCCAAAGCUGGCCAAGGCCAAGCUGAUGGCUCUUAACCAAGGGAGCCCAAAUCACAGACCAGAAGGCUGGGAAAAAAANCC